CAAAAAUUGUAGUUUAAAGCGACUGUUUUCAUGAGCUACUAAACGUUUGAAUAACAUUUUUAUAUCAAAAAAUCUGUAAUUCUUAAACUAAUCCAGCAUACCGACUACCUAAUAUUCAAGAUUUGGAACCAUUAUCGCGAUAUUAACUCGUUAGAAAGUCGUCUAGAGGCUCUGGAGCCAGUAGUUAACCAAAGGUGAGAAAAGAAAGAAAAAGAAAAGUCUGGAGUGCAAUAAUUAUGAAAGAUAAAAAAUUACAAAAGAAUGGAUAAAAGUUUCAAAUCUUUAUCCAGCUCCAUUGAUCAACCAUAGAUAUUUCUUCCUCCCGCUGACUGUGGUCCCUUCUUGAUCCAUAAGACGUUUGAAAUACUCGUUGAUAUGGAUUUCCUUAAAGGACUCAAUUAAUAGGUAUCUCUUUCAGUGGAUAUUCAUCGUAACCCUCUGGAUCACAUGAAACCAUCAGGCUUUUAAGGAGAAGGAGAGUACCGAUUGGUAAAAUUUUGGCCAGUAGAUCAAAAACUUGUCGAGUACUUUUAUUGGUCAUUGCUGAUCGAUUAGAUUUAACGUCAUCCGCUAGGUCUUUACGAUCAUAUAGAUUAUCAAGAUUCUAGUAAUCAUAGGCAUAAACAGAGCCAGCUGAUAGAUCAGAAUUUAGAUUUGAUAGAAGAAGAAUUAAAAGAAUAAGUAAAUUAUUAUCAUUCAUAUCAAUGAUAUAUCCACUGAAAGCUUUUUAAUUUAACAGAUUCAAUAUCUUUUUCACUUUCAUUCAUUAUUUUCAUCUUUACUGAUGAAUUGAUUGAGUGUUUGGUGUUAUCAAAACUAUUUAUAUGCCAAUUAUCUAAGCUCAUUCAUUAAGAAGCUAUAAUUUGAUCAGAAAAACAAUCUUUCAAGUGAAAUUUAAAACCAUCAUAACAUUUUUAAUGUAAAAUAAUUGAUGAAUUGGGUUUAAAAUAGUUAUUCAAUGCACUUACAGGUGACACUAAAGUCUCAUCAAAAAUAGCCAUUGUGCCUGAAAUAUUGGUUAUCUAUGGAUUUGUUAAGGAUUAUUCAAUCACUAAAUUGACAAUGAUAUCUCUGUAAUUAGUCAACUUAUUAGACUGGAAAGCAGAUGAAGGUUACAAAUUCACGAUUCUGGUCAUUUUUGAUGCAUCUGUUGGACAAAAUGCUAGGCAAUUUGUUAUCAUGCUGAAGAGUAAACAGAAGCUAGAAAUUAAAAUCAAUUCAGUUUCAUUGAUAAA
Tetranychus urticae (two-spotted spider mite) is the source of this 1235-nucleotide non-coding RNA. NCBI's taxonomy places the organism in Eukaryota, Metazoa, Arthropoda, Arachnida, Trombidiformes, Tetranychidae. The record is from RefSeq and is a predicted model, not a curated record.